Molecule: non-coding RNA, 204 nt
Organism: Pelobates cultripes (western spadefoot toad)
Lineage: Eukaryota; Metazoa; Chordata; Amphibia; Anura; Pelobatidae
Source: the annotation of a GenBank genome assembly
AGGCUCCCUCACAGACACACACUGACAUACAUACACACUCACUCUCUCACAGACACACACUGACAGACAUACACUCACUCACUCACUCACAGACACACACUGACAGAUAUACACACACUGACAGACAGGCACACACUCACUCAGACACACUCACAGAGACAUAUUUACAGACACACACUCACUCACAGACACACACUGACAGAU